AAAUAGAUACCCUGGUAGUCCACGCCGUAAACGAUGAGUGCUAAGUGUUAGAGGGUUUCCGCCCUUUAGUGCUGCAGCUAACGCAUUAAGCACUCCGCCUGGGGAGUACGGCCGCAAGGCUGAAACUCAAAGGAAUUGACGGGGGGCCCGCACAAGCGGUGGAGCAUGUGGUUUAAUUCGAAGCAACGCGAAGAACCUUACCAGGUCUUGACAUCCUCUGACAACCCUAGAGAUAGGGCUUUCCCCUUCGGGGGACAGAGUGACAGGUGGUGCAUGGUUGUCGUCAGCUCGUGUCGUGAGAUGUUGGGUUAAGUCCCGCAACGAGCGCAACCCUUGAUCUUAGUUGCCAGCAUUCAGUUGGGCACUCUAAGGUGACUGCCGGUGACAAACCGGAGGAAGGUGGGGAUGGACGUCAAAUCAUCAUGCCCCUUAUGACCUGGGCUACACACGUGCUACAAUGGAUGGUACAAAGGGCUGCAAACCUGCGAAGGUAGCGAAUCCAUAAAGCCAUUCUCAGUUCGGAUUGCAGG
RNAcentral lists this ribosomal RNA (530 nucleotides) under uncultured bacterium. Its description in RNAcentral is "bacterial SSU rRNA". It matches the Rfam family "Bacterial small subunit ribosomal RNA", at positions 776 to 1304 of the family's 1533-position model. The record is from RNAcentral.